GAACGGAGCGCCGGACACGGACUAUUUCGGUAGGAAGCGUGCGGAGGCUUAGUGGCGGACGGGUGAGUAACGCGUGGAUAACCUGCCGCAUACCGGGGGAUAACAGCUGGAAACAGCUGCUAAUACCGCAUAUGCCCGCAGUGCCGCAUGGCACAGCGGGGAAAACUCCGGUGGUAUGCGAUGGGUCCGCGUCUGAUUAGGCAGUUGGCGGGGUAACGGCCCACCAAACCGACGAUCAGUAGCCGGCCUGAGAGGGCGGACGGCCACACUGGGACUGAGACACGGCCCAGACUCCUGCGGGAGGCAGCAGUGGGGAAUAUUGCACAAUGGGGGAAACCCUGAUGCAGCGACGCCGCGUGAAGGAAGAAGUAUCUCGGUAUGUAAACUUCUAUCAGCAGGGAAGAAAACAGACGGUACCUGACUAAGAAGCCCCGGCUAACUACGUGCCAGCAGCCGCGGUAAUACGUAGGGGGCAAGCGUUAUCCGGAUUUACUGGGUGUAAAGGGGGUGCAGACGGCCAUGGCAAGCCCGGUGUGAAAGGCAGGGGCAUAACCCCUGGACUGCACUCCGAACUGUCAGGCUGGAGUGCCGGAGGGGUAAGCGGAAUUCCUGGUGUAGCGGUGAAAUGCGUAGAUCUCUGGAGGAGCCCCGGCGGCGGGNGCGGCUUNCUGGNCGGCCNCUGNCGUUGNGGCCCGAAAGCGUGGGGGGCCUUCUAGGGNNNNNNNNNNNNNNNNNCNNNCNNNNNNCGACCUUUAAAGGGUGUCGGAUAUCAAGGAUAUCCGGUGCCGAAGCAAACGCAUUAAGUAUACCACCUGGGGAGUACGUUCGCAAGAAUGAAACUCAAAGGAAUUGACGGGGACCCGCACAAGCGGUGGAGCAUGUGGUUUAAUUCGAAGCAACGCGAAGAACCUUACCAGGCCUUGACAUCCUGAUGGCGUAGGCGUAACGGCUUAUUCCCCUCGGGGCAUCAGAGACAGGUGGUGCAUGGUUGUCGUCAGCUUGUGUCGUGAGAUGUUGGGUUAAGUCCCGCAACGAGCGCAACCCUUACCCACAGUAGCCAGCACAAAAGGUGGGCACUCUGUGGGGACUGCCGGGGACAACCCGGAGGAAGGUGGGGAUGACGUCAAAUCAUCAUGCCCCUUAUGGCCGGGGCUACACACGUGCUACAAUGGCGUAAACAAAGGGAAGCGAGAGAGUGAUCUUAAGCGAAACUCAAAAAUAACGUCCCAGUUCGGAUUGCAGUCUGCAACUCGACUGCAUGAAGCUGGAAUCGCUAGUAAUCGC
Molecule: ribosomal RNA, 1284 nt
Filed under: uncultured bacterium
Lineage: Bacteria
Description: partial 16S ribosomal RNA
Rfam family: Bacterial small subunit ribosomal RNA
Source: RNAcentral